CUGCUCGCGUGCGAUCCGGCGCCAUCGCGCCUUGGGCGAGCCUUGGCAUGGGAAGGAGAGAGCGGAGCGAGCUGACGCCGAAGUGGCGCUGGCGAUGGUGGCGCUUGCGCUGGAGGACCGGUCGGAGAAUGGCGCCAGGAGACGGCUCACGGAUGACGCAGGAGGUUUUGGUGUGACCCGGCGCUAUGUCUGUGAUACCACCCAGGAGCUUGACCGAGGAUGCCCCGGAAUCCUAAUUUAGCGAACCUCUUUUCUGAAGACGUUUUGCCUGAUGAGGAAGAGGAGGAGGAAAGAAAAGGAUUUUUGCUUGAGUACCAUUUGCAAACUUACUCAAUAAUUUGAAGAUUUAUAUAAGGGCCUGUUGAAAGGUGGUGUGUCCCUUCCU
This is a long non-coding RNA of Peromyscus leucopus (white-footed mouse), 385 nucleotides long. RefSeq lists it as uncharacterized. NCBI's taxonomy places the organism in Eukaryota, Metazoa, Chordata, Mammalia, Rodentia, Cricetidae. The transcript has 4 exons. The record is from RefSeq and is a predicted model, not a curated record.